CACUGGUGGGACGUGGUGGGGAAGCCUUCGGGCUUGCUGGUUUACUUUUUCGCCAGUCUGUCAACCCUGCCACGUUCUCGCCACCU
This 86-nucleotide non-coding RNA is filed under the name uncultured Deefgea sp. The record is from RNAcentral. Lineage: Bacteria; Pseudomonadati; Pseudomonadota; Betaproteobacteria; Neisseriales; Chitinibacteraceae.